CCGACGGUGAGGGGUGAAAGCUGGGGGAGCAAACCGGAUUAGAUACCCGGGUAGUCCCAGCUGUAAACGAUGCGCGUUAGGUGUGUCAGUGACCACGUGUCACUGAUGUGCCGAAGGGAAACCGUGAAACGCGCCGCCUGGGGAGUACGGUCGCAAAGCUGAAACUUAAGGGAAUUGGCGGGGGAGCACCACAACGGGUGGAGCCUGCGGUUUAAUCGGACUCAACGCCGGAAAUCUCACCGGAUAA
Molecule: ribosomal RNA, 247 nt
Filed under: uncultured archaeon
Lineage: Archaea
Description: partial 16S ribosomal RNA
Rfam family: Archaeal small subunit ribosomal RNA
Source: RNAcentral